Balaenoptera ricei (Rice's whale) is the source of this 73-nucleotide non-coding RNA. NCBI's taxonomy places the organism in Eukaryota, Metazoa, Chordata, Mammalia, Artiodactyla, Balaenopteridae. The record is from the annotation of a RefSeq genome assembly.
UCCCUGGUGGUCCAGUGGUUAGGACUCCACACCUACACUGCUGGGGGCCCGGGUUCGAUCCCUGGUUGGGGAA